This 207-nucleotide ribosomal RNA is filed under the name uncultured Mesotoga sp. RNAcentral's name for it is "partial 16S ribosomal RNA". It matches the Rfam family "Bacterial small subunit ribosomal RNA", at positions 568 to 774 of the family's 1533-position model. Lineage: Bacteria; Thermotogati; Thermotogota; Thermotogae; Kosmotogales; Kosmotogaceae. The record is from RNAcentral.
AGCGUAGGUGGCCUAACAUGUCAACUGUGAAAACCCGGAGCUCAACUCCGGACUUGCAGUUGAAACUGGUAGGCUUGAGGACGGUAGAGGAAGACGGAACUGCCAGUGUAGGGGUAAAAUCCUUAGAUAUUGGCAGGAACGCCGGUGACGAAGGUGGUUUUCUGGGCCUGUUCUGACACUGAUGCUCGAAAGUCAGGGGAGCGAACG